GGACUACCGGGGUAUCUAAUCCUGUUUGCUCCCCACGCUGUCGCGCCUCAGUGUCAGUUACUGCCCAGCAGGCCGCCUUCGCCACCGGUCUUCUAUCGGAUCUCUACGCAUUCCACCGCUACACCCGAUAUUCUACCUGCCUCUACAGUACUCAAGCCUUGCAGUAUUCACGGCAGACCCGGGGUUGAGCCCCGGGCUUUCACCGCAAACUUACAAAGCCACCUACGCGCCCUUUACGCCCAGUGAUUCCGGACAACGCUCGCACCCCCCGUAUUACCGCGGCUGCUGGCAC
RNAcentral lists this ribosomal RNA (292 nucleotides) under uncultured bacterium. RNAcentral's name for it is "partial 16S ribosomal RNA". The record is from RNAcentral.